This 231-nucleotide ribosomal RNA is filed under the name uncultured bacterium. RNAcentral describes it as "partial 16S ribosomal RNA". It matches the Rfam family "Bacterial small subunit ribosomal RNA", at positions 57 to 305 of the family's 1533-position model. The record is from RNAcentral.
GCAAGUCGAACGAGAUGCAUUCUUCGGAAUGUUAUCUAGUGGCGGACGGGUGCGUAACACGUGGGAAUCUACCUUAUAGUGGGGGAUAACUUCUGGAAACGGGAGUUAAUACCCCAUACGCCCUUCGGGGGAAAGAUUUAUCGCUAUAAGAUGAGCCCGCGGUGGAUUAGAUAGUUGGUGAGGUAAAGGCUCACCAAGUCUACGAUCUAUAGCUGGUCUGAGAGGAUGACC